GAAUUUCGGGGUUAGUAGACGGCAGUGUAGACGCCGGCAUUCACUAGGUUUACUGAUUCCUCCUUCCUGAUGAACUGUAAUGCCAUUGAUUUGGUGUUGCAGGGAAUCUGGACUGUUACUUUGAAAAAAUUAGAGUGUUUAAAGCAGGCUAACGCUUGAAUACAUUAGCAUGGAAUAAUGAAAUAGGACGUUCGAUCCUAUUUUGUUGGUUUCUAGGAUUGACGU
RNAcentral lists this ribosomal RNA (225 nucleotides) under uncultured Rhizophagus. RNAcentral's name for it is "partial 18S ribosomal RNA". It matches the Rfam family "Eukaryotic small subunit ribosomal RNA", at positions 636 to 863 of the family's 1831-position model. The record is from RNAcentral. Lineage: Eukaryota; Fungi; Glomeromycota; Glomeromycetes; Glomerales; Glomeraceae.